This is a long non-coding RNA of Salarias fasciatus (jewelled blenny), 2000 nucleotides long. RefSeq lists it as uncharacterized. Lineage: Eukaryota; Metazoa; Chordata; Actinopteri; Blenniiformes; Blenniidae. The record is from RefSeq and is a predicted model, not a curated record. The transcript has 4 exons.
UACUGGAAGUGGAAAAGUUCUACCUCCUCUCUAAUGAAACACAGAGGUACUGUUUCACCGAGGGAGGUGGAGAAAAGACGGCGAGGCGCGGACACACACACAAACACACUCUGAAGCAACAGUCACUCCCAGGCAGGACUGCCGGAGAGAAACCAGCCUUUGUGGUAAACAGCAGCAAAACUUCGGCGAGUGUGAAAAUCGAAAAGAAGAAACGGAGACGCCCUGAGGACCGCCGCUCAGCAGCGUCUGAGCCCUCGUCCUCCUCCCCUGGAUGACGUUCUGCUCGGCCCCACAACAAACCAACGACGCCCAGCGGGAAGCCACUCCGGGGGAGAAACGCCGAGUUCACCGCCGUCCCCUCUUCAUCAACUGCUUUUGUAGAUUCUGACAGUGAGUCUGGGCUUGGCUGAGGUUGAGAAAACAACAAAACCUCUCGCAGGUUGUCUCAAACAAGCAGCCGGAGUUACAUCCUGAUGACCGCACGCACACGUGGACGUGCAGGCAAAUAAAGAGAACACUGAGCUGGGACUGCUCCCACUGCCACGCCACCAUGGACGCCAAAGAGGAGACGCUAAAUAUGCUGAGCAAGAUAUGGAUCAAGCUGCAGGGUCUCCCAAACGCUCACCCCAUCGAGCUGGGAGCGUUCUUCAUCCUCCUAUCUUUCAUCUUGGUCGUCACUCUGAUGUCGGUGCUGACCUGCGCCAGCAGCUGCUGCUGCUGCUGCUGCUGCUGCCGCCGUGGCAGGACCAAGCUAAAAGAGAUGAGCAUCUGAGGAGAUCUGUGCAGUACAGACACGAGCAAAGGGGAAACCUUAGCACAGAUGAGCGUGUCAGAAAGAGUAAAGCCUCUUUCUGCAACUGUUUAACACAAACUGCAGAUUUAAAGUCAAGGGUGAUAAGUGUCGUACGCGGAGCGUUCUGAUGCAAAAAGAUCUGUGGGACAACGAGGCAGCUGACAAACACAGAGGGCGAUGUCUUGAAAGGCUGCCAAACACACCUGUGAACUCUGCCAGGUAUUCAGGAGAGUCCACAUUCCUUGGAGCGUCCAUGUGCGCCGCAGAAUAACGAAAACAACCGUUCUGACCUGAGGGGGAGCCCCGGCCAGCUCCUGCCGUCUACAAUGCAUGAGUCAUUCUUGAAGAAUGAAAAGUGGUGGUCAGAUAAGAUGGCCCUGAGUGGAAAGUUGCAUUCUAAUCUCAAGUGUGAAAGUAGCAUAAGAGGGAGCAAGUGUGCCCUCUGCUGGACAGAAACUGAAGUAUUGGGUAUAUUGAUCAGCUGUAAUGGGCUAAGUCUGAUUAUGCACAUUUUCUCCCACAGCCCAAAAACCAUUUGUGUUUCAUUUUAAAUGUAAUUACAAAUUCCCCAAGUGUGAGUGUGUGCGGUUCACUCUCUGUUUCUAACUAACUGUGACCCUGAAUUGGAUAAAACAGAACAAAUGAGUGAGUUCCUGCUCACCAUUGAGCUUUUCCCCUUUAAUCAGCUAUCAGUUUAUCAGCUGUCCACUUGCUGCUGCAAUAGUGUAGAUUUCCCUAUUCUGGGACAAAUAAAGUAUUAUUUUAUCUUAUAUAGAUGAUCAUCCACAACAUUAUGACCACUGACGGGUGAUGUGAGUAACAUUAGGCGUAUUGACGCUGGAGGUCACACAUGGAUAUAAUAUGAGACAGGUAGAUGGUCAUACACUUCCAGCUGAUCAGUGUAGCCUCCAUAAUGGAAGGUGUGUAUACAGCCAAAACCUGCAUUUAGUUUUUCUGCAGUGGGUGAAGGGCUCACGUAACAACGUGUAAAUUUGUCGUACAUUCAUUGAUGAAUGAACAAAGGUUUGUUUUGCAUGUAAUGAAAUAUAAUAGCAUUCUUCUACAUGUGUGCAUUGAAUAUUCCACUCACCCUUCCUGCUCACAGAAUGACACCAUAGCUUCGAAGUCAGUGAUGGCUGUUUUGUCAGAUUCUUUUGCCGAGCCGCGUUUCUCCUGUGGAUACAUUUCAGAUUUUGUUUUGUUUUUU